RNAcentral lists this ribosomal RNA (244 nucleotides) under uncultured bacterium. Its description in RNAcentral is "partial 16S ribosomal RNA". It matches the Rfam family "Bacterial small subunit ribosomal RNA", at positions 15 to 249 of the family's 1533-position model. The record is from RNAcentral.
GAUCCUGACUCAGGAUGAACGCUAGCUACAGGCUUAACACAUGCAAGUCGAGGGGCAGCAUUCCAGUUUGCUUGCAAACUGGAGAUGGCGACCGGCGCACGGGUGAGUAACACGUAUCCAACCUGCCGAUAACUCGGGGAUAGCCUUUCGAAAGAAAGAUUAAUACCCGAUGGCAUAAUAGAACCGCAUGGUUUGAUUAUUAAAGAAUUUCGGUUAUCGAUGGGGAUGCGUUCCAUUAGGCAGG